GUCACUUGCCCAGAGUCAUACAACUGACAAGUAGCGGAGCUGGGAUUGAAACCCACGACCUCUGACUCCCAAGCCCGGGCUCUUUCCACUGAGCCAUGCUGCUUCUCAGCGUGAGACCCCGAGUCCAAAGUUGUGCCGUCUCCUUCCCGUUGAAGUGCAGCAUUCCUUCUUUCUGGGCUUUCUGUCCUCUUCUUUCUCCAAAGAAGUGGGUGAGACUUACACCAGGACGCUUGGGGUGUCUGUGCUUACUCUCGCCUCCCUUUAGAGGAAAGUUGACCUUGUAGCGUGGCUCAGUGGAAAGAGCCCAGGCUUGGGUUUCAGAGGUCAUGGGUUUGAAUCCCGGCUCUGCCACUUGUCAAUUGUGUGACUGUGGGCAAGUCACUUAACUUCUCUGGGCCUCAGUUACCUCAUCUGUAAAAUGGGGAUUAAGACCAUGAGCCUCAUGUGGUACUACCUGAUUACCCUGUAUCUACCCCAGUGCUUAGAACAGUGCUCUGCAUAUAGUAAGCACUUAACAAAUACCAACAUUAUUAUUUCCACCAGCCCCAAGAAGUCUUUCAGACCGGGGAUUGGUCUGAAUGGAUAAUGUGCAUGAUCUCCCCUGUGACAAGAUUGCUUUUUAUAUGGGUUUGACUUCUCGCGUAUGUUCCCGUCCCUUGAAUGUCUCUGGCUUCAUCCAAACUCUCUCUGGUCUCAGGUUAUGGAGCUUGGAGUGCUGCAGCUGCCAACCCUCAGGGUACAUAUGCAACCACUGCAGCGAGCUGGCAAGGUAGGUGUCUAGGAAUUUGUCCAUGCUUGGGGGUGGUGUGUGUGUCGGGGGGAGGGGGGCCGCGCAGAGGGGAAAGAGUACGUGUGUGUGUUUGGGGGU
This 868-nucleotide long non-coding RNA is filed under the name Ornithorhynchus anatinus (platypus). RNAcentral describes it as "lncRNA (ENSOANG00000043237.1)". Lineage: Eukaryota; Metazoa; Chordata; Mammalia; Monotremata; Ornithorhynchidae. The record is from RNAcentral.